Molecule: ribosomal RNA, 258 nt
Filed under: uncultured bacterium
Lineage: Bacteria
Description: partial 16S ribosomal RNA
Rfam family: Bacterial small subunit ribosomal RNA
Source: RNAcentral
UACGUAGGGUGCAAGCGUUGUCCGGAAUCACUGGGCGUAAAGGGCGCGUAGGCGGCUCAUGAAGGCUGUGGUGAAAGUCCGGGGCUCAACCUCGGAUCGGCCGUGGCGACUCGUGGGCUGGAGCACUGUAGAGGCGGGUGGAAUUCCUGGUGUAGCGGUGAAAUGCGCAGAUAUCAGGAGGAACACCGGUGGCGAAGGCGGAUUCUCUGGGCAGUUACCUGACGCUGAGGACUGAAAGUGUGGGGAGCGGAAGCAGGA